CAGCCGCCGCGGUAAUACCGGCGGCCCGAGUGGCGGUCACUAUUAUUGGGCUUAAAGCGUCCGUAGCCGGGUUGGGAAGUCCUCCGGGAAAUCUGGCCGCUUAACGGUCAGAAUGCCGGAGGAUACUCCCAGCCUAGGGAGCGGGAGAGGCCGAGGGGAUUCCCGGAGUAGGGGGGAAAUCCUAUAAUCCCGGGAGCACCACCUGUGGCGAAGGCGCUCGGCUGGAACGCGUCCGACGGUGAGGGACGAAGGCCAGGGGAGCAAACCGGAUUAGAUACCCGGGUAGUCCUGGCUGUAAACGAUGCGGACUUUGUGUCGGACAAGCUAUGAGCUUGUCCGGUGCCGGAGGGAAACCGUUAAGUCCGCCGCCUGGGGAGUACGGCCGCAAGGCUGAAACUUAAAGGAAUUGGCGGG
This 414-nucleotide ribosomal RNA is filed under the name uncultured microorganism. RNAcentral's name for it is "bacterial SSU rRNA". It matches the Rfam family "Archaeal small subunit ribosomal RNA", at positions 459 to 872 of the family's 1478-position model. The record is from RNAcentral.